CGGCAAUAGCUCAAAUUUGAAAUCUGGCUCUUUGAGUCCGAGUUGUAAUUUGUAGAGGAUGUUUCGGGCAAGGUUGUGGUUUAAAUUCCUUGGAACAGGAUGUCAUAGAGGGUGAGAAUCCCGUCUUGAGCCAUAUACCGCGUCCAUGUGAAACUCCUUCGAC
Molecule: ribosomal RNA, 163 nt
Filed under: Phaeomoniellales sp.
Lineage: Eukaryota; Fungi; Ascomycota; Eurotiomycetes; Phaeomoniellales
Description: partial large subunit ribosomal RNA
Rfam family: Eukaryotic large subunit ribosomal RNA
Source: RNAcentral